This is a long non-coding RNA of Osmia bicornis bicornis, 338 nucleotides long. RefSeq lists it as uncharacterized. The transcript is spliced from 3 exons. The record is from RefSeq and is a predicted model, not a curated record. Lineage: Eukaryota; Metazoa; Arthropoda; Insecta; Hymenoptera; Megachilidae.
GCGCAUGCGCAGAAUGGUUAUGUGUAGCCGUUUGAAAAGCGUCGGUCUCACAACGCGUCGUACUAAAUUAAUCGAAAUCUGUGAUAAAUCGUAUUUCCAAGUGAUUUACGUAGUCAAAUUAAUGUGUAAGUGAAGUGAUUUAUGUGCGCAAAAAGGAUACAUAAGUUGGAGUUCGUCCUGGAUUGAAAUUUCAGCAAAUACAAUUUUAUACUGGAUGGAUCUAUUACUGGCAACUGGGGGACGUUUUUACAUCGUGAAACAUCUCAAGUUGACUCGAGUUGCAGUCAGUUUGUCAAAGAACUCCUGAAGCAGAAUUACACUCGGCAGUGAAGAAACGG